RNAcentral lists this ribosomal RNA (460 nucleotides) under uncultured bacterium. Its description in RNAcentral is "partial 16S ribosomal RNA". It matches the Rfam family "Bacterial small subunit ribosomal RNA", at positions 338 to 795 of the family's 1533-position model. The record is from RNAcentral.
CCUACGGGAGGCUGCAGUGAGGAAUAUUGGUCAAUGGUCGCGAGACUGAACCAGCCAAGCCGCGUGAAGGAUGACUGCACUGAGGAUCGUAAACUUCUUUUAUCUGGGAAUAAAGUGCAGUAUGUAUCCCGCUAUGCAUGUACCUUAUGAAUAAGGAUCGGCUAACUCCGUGCCAGCAGCCGCGGUAAUACGGAGGAUCCGAGCGUUAUCCGGAUUUAUUGGGGUUAAAGGGUGCGUAGGCGGGUUGUUAAGUCAGGUGUGAAAGUUCGCGGCUCAACCGUGAAAGUGCAGUUGAUACUGGCAGCCUUGAGUACAGGAGAGGGAGGCGGAAUGCGUGGUGUAGCGGUGAAAUGCUUAGAUAUCACGAAGAACUCCGAUUGCGAAGGCAGCCUGCUGGACUGUAACUGACGCUGAUGCUCGAAAGUGUGGGUAUCAAACAGGAUUAGAUACCCUUGUAGUC